CAAUCUCGUUGUGAAUUUACUAUGGAGGGCUUAAAAAAGGAGAUUUAUCGGCAAUGGGCAAAUUUGAAAUUUCUGUCCCCACUUUUAAGCAGCUUCCUCGGUUUGACAGCAGAGGCACUGCGAUCGACUGGGAUACUACAUUUUCAUUCAGUACAACAAUGAGUCGUGGUAGAAAUUGCUUUGUACCUGGCUGUACAAGUGGGAAUCCCAAUAAAAACAAGGCAAAUAAAGAACGGGGUGAAAGAAACCCAAGCCUUUUCAAAGCUCCUAAUGAUCCUAGCUUGCUACAGCAGUGGCAAAAGGCGAUACCCAGAUCAGACAAGACACUUAGCAGCAAAGAUGCUGUUUGUGAACUACAUUUUCUAGAUGAAGAUAUUUUGACUCAUUAUGAGAUCAAAUUAACUGACGGAACUAUCAGUAGAAUUGAGCGGGGUAGACCAUUAUUAAAGGAGGGUUCAAUUCCAAGAAUUUUUCCUAACCUGCCUUCAUAUUUCUCUAGUAAUAAAAGAAAGAGGAAACCACCAUGUGUAAGGAGUGAAGCAACUGAAAAAGUUUCUAAUUCAAAAAAAGUAAAAGGUCUGCCUAUUAAUCAUGUUGAAAAUCAAACUUCAGAACCUAACUUUGAGAAUGAGAAUGAAAUUCUUCGUGAUAUUACUAAUGUGCCAGUUGAUGUUACAGACAGUAGAGUUACUAUGUUCACAAAUUUGAAAAAUAGUUUGCAUAUGUCAGAUUGUAAAUUUAUUAUAAAAAUUAUUUAGAUUUUUGACUAGCCGUCGCAAGACGCUUUUUCAUUGAGGAAUAAUAAGAAAUAAUUUGAAAAUUAUUGUAUUGUGGUUGAUACUUUUGAUUGUGUAUAUAAACCAUUUAGAAUAGUUUUUAUGAAUAUGAAUAAGCUCUUUAAAUUAAUAUGUAGGUAUAUUGUAGCUAGGUAUUUUUUUAGAAUGCAUUUUUUUUAAAUUGUAAUUUUUUGUGUUCUUGAUAUAAUAUGAUGUUCCUGUUUUAUUUUUUGGCAUAGUACAUAUAGAUAUUUAAUAUCUAAGUGCUAAAUUGUAUAUUAAAUUUAUAUAUUGUAUAUUUUAUUUAUUAAAUUUAGUGGAAUUAGUUAAUAGAAACAAAAGUUGUAAUGUAUUAAUAUUGCUAAAUAAAUAUUUAUAUGAUGAAAUAAGUCAGCGUAUAUACAUAUUCACAACUCUGUAUUUUUGUGCUUUUGAAAUAAACUGAGUACAUUAUUUAUUCAUUAAUAUUUUAUUUACAAACCUACCUUAUAUUAAUAAAGUGAAUAUCAAUAGAAAAACCUUUACAAUUAUUAGGUGACAUUGAAUAUAAUAUAUCUUGAAUUUAAUUGUCUACGAAACAGUGACAAUUUGCAAAACUUUGCUAAUGACAUUAAAACUUACAAUUCAACGCUAGAAAAAACGCUAUUGAACACAGGAAACGUUUCAGCUCAAUAUACCUACUCUCUAGUUUCAGCUAUAAAAAGUUAUGGAAUAGAUAACACCGAUCAAAGGGUGCAAUGGUAACGUUCGUCUUCAGUUUCCAUUUAUGAUUAAGUUAUUCCUGAUAAAAUACUCUUAAUUUUCGUUAUUCAAUCUGUCAAUCGCCAUAAAACCACUACUAGUUCGAAAGAUUUUAAUGUUUAUUAAAAUGGUAUCACACUAAACUGCAUGUAAACAUGUCAAUUUCAAAUGUUUUAAUGAAAAACUAUGAACCUUUAAACUGCAUCAACAAAACUAUUAAUAAAACACUAACACAAUCACACCAUAAACUAUUUCAUUCGCAUUUCUCAUCAAGAAACAAUUACUGUUUACAUCAAAUCAAAGGUUGAACUGGUGAUAAAUUUGUUGCUGGAACUUCUAUCUUUUUUGUACAACAGUUCUAGGGAAGAUUUAUUUUAGCAGCUUAUAUGUUUCUUCGGUCGUGUAUGCACUAAAAAGAACCACAUAAUAAAACAUUUUUAUAAUAUCAACUUAGGAAAAGGAUAUAUUAAACCGGCAUCUAAUAUAACCUAACUAACUUUUCAAACUCAAAUUUAAGGUUUUGUAUUCACAAUUUUAGCCACGCACAUUGCUCAAUUAGAAAAACCACGUUUCUAAAAGCUAACUCUGGUAAAAAUAUGCCCAAAUAUUAACUUGGCUCUAUAAUUUAUAACAAAAUAGUUAUUCUUGCCAUAAGAAGCUGUGUAUUUCUAGUAUCCCAAUCAUCACAAGCGCCCCUAACGGCGAUUUUCGAACUUCAUUUAGAUCUCAAAAACUGGGCCCAUAAUUUUUGCGUUCGAUUCGCCUCCUCCUUUUAGACUCCAUAGAAUUUACUAUUUUAAUUAAUGCAAAAUAACAAACAUUUGGUCCAUUAAACACCGAAGGCUUAUUUCUAAUGGGAAAAAUUAAUAAUACUGUUAAUCCUGGAGUAGAAAUAAUACCAAUUAGUGAUCAUAAUACCGGACAGUCCCAAGAAAAAGCUGUUAACUCUGUUGUGAAAAUGCCAUACAUGUCUGAUCCAUCUAUUAUCCCAAGAGUGCAGAAGUAUUUGGAGAAUAAUAUUGACAAAACUUAUGUUGAUAUCAAUCAAAUGGCAGAUGAAUUACAAAAGAAAUACCGAGAAUACGGCAAACGGAAGAGGAGUGCCUUUAGGGCUUCAGUUAAAAAAGCAUACUCUGUAGUUUUGCAAAGUUAUGGUUUAGAAGAUAGAGAGGAGAGUUCAGACGACAUUGUCAGUGAGGAUAGUGAUAGUAGUGAUAAUGAUAAAUUCGCUAAUGACUCUAUGAAUAAUCAACUGGCAGAGGAUGUACCAACGUCCUGCUGCUGUUAAACCAAAACUUGAUGAAAAUGAACUAAUCGAUAUUAGUAGCGAAGAUUCUGGAAGAAGAAGCAGCUUACAACAAUUACGGCAGCAAAACAAAUGGGGCCUCUACUUCUAACCUGCUUUCACUUUUUAAAAAUAUUGGCGGCAUGGACAAGGUACUAGAAGAUGUUUGCAAAUUGUUGUUACAUAUCAGACAUCCAGAGUUGUAUAGAAAAAUUGUAUUUCACCACCAAGAGGGAUUUUCACUCCAUGGUCCUCCAGGUUGUGGUAAAACUCUGUUGGCCAAUGCAAUUGCAGGGGAAUUAGGGGUACAGUUGAUUAAAGUGGCCGCUCCUGAACUAGUUGCAGGUGUCUCCGGUGAGAGCGAAGAAAGAAUUCGGGAACUGUUUGAAAGAGCCUGCAGUUCAGCUCCUUGUAUUUUGUUUAUCGAUGAAAUUGAUGCCAUCACGCCUAACAGACAAAAUGCGCAGAAAGAAAUGGAAAGAAGGAUUGUAGCUCAGUUACUGAGCUGUUUAGAUGAUCUGAGUGUAAAUGAAAAUGGAGAUAGGGUGUUGGUAAUAGGCGCCACUAAUAGACCCGAUUCCAUUGAUCCAGCUUUGCGCAGAGCCGGACGAUUUGACAGGGAAAUAUGUUUAGGAAUUCCCAAUGAGAAGGCUAGAGAACAGAUUCUAAAGGUACUCACCACAAAUUUGACACUGUCCGACGACUUUGAUUAUCAGAAAAUCGCCAAAUUUACACCAGGCUAUGUGGGCGCGGAUUUACUCUCUUUAACGAGAGAGGCAUCAAUGGUAGCAGUUAAUAGAGUAUUUAAUGAUAUUAAGGAGCGUCGUAGAAUAGAGCAAGUGGUAGCUUUGCAGAAGGCAACGGAAGAACAACAAAAGGCAAAGGAAUUAGCCAAACAGAAGAAGGCAGAGGAGGCAGAAAAGAAAAAACGAGAAGAGGAAGCUGCAAAGGAAGCCGACCAACAAGAAAUAGUAGUGGAUAGUCCUAAAGCAGCUGAAAACACUAAAGACAAAGAAGCCGAUACCUCUACCGACGCCGUAGUAGUUUUAGACGAUAACGAAGAGUCUCAAUCAAAAUCUGAACCACCAGCUGCUGCUUCAGUGGGCGCUUCGAUAGAAACGAACCUCAACGGCGCACUUCCACCUUCAGAAGUAGAACCGGAAAUUAUAGUUGAAGAAGAAUCUCUACCUCCACAAGAACCAAUGCCAGUUGAUGAGGUCAAGCCAUUACUGAUUUGGAAGAGCUUAAACUCUGGUUACAUGACAGAAUACCUAUCAGCGAUGAUCAGCUCAGAAAUCUUUGUAUAACCAUGGAAGAUUUUGGAAAGGCUUUGAAGACAGUGCAACCAUCAGCAAAGAGGGAAGGUUUCGCUACAGUACCGGAUACUACAUGGGAUGAUAUAGGAUCUCUCAAAGACGUCAGAGAGGAAUUGCAAAUGGCAAUUUUAGCUCCAGUCAGAUAUUCUGACCGAUUUGAAGAACUAGGUUUACACGUGCCAACAGGUGUUCUUCUCUGCGGUCCUCCAGGAUGUGGUAAAACUCUGUUAGCUAAAGCGAUAGCCAACGAGGCCGGUAUCAAUUUUAUUUCCGUCAAGGGACCUGAACUGCUUAAUAUGUAUGUAGGUGAAAGCGAAAAAGCAGUGAGGGUGUGCUUUGAACGAGCAAGGAACUCCGCACCAUGCGUCAUUUUCUUCGACGAAUUGGAUGCUCUCUGCCCCAAAAGGUCAGACUCCAGAGAGGGUGGCGCUACGAUGCGCGUGGUCAAUCAAAUGUUAACCGAAAUGGACGGUAUAGAAGGGCGCAAAGGCGUAUUUUUUUAUUGGCCGCGAGCAAUAGGCCGGACAUUGUCGAUCCUGCUGUACUUCGUCCAGGGCGGUUGGAUAAAAUCCUUUAUGUUGGGCUCCUUCGCGCGAAGACAGAGUGGACAUACUGCGAGCAAUCACAAAGAAUGGUACGCAACCGAAGUUAGAUGAAGACGUUGAUAUCGUGAGUAUAGGCACGUCGGAACAGACCAAGGGUUAUACUGGAGCAGAUUUAGCCGCUCUGGUAAGAGAAGCGUCUGUGCUAGCACUGAAGGAGUUCAUGCUAGGCGGGGAAGCGAACUUAAAAGUGUCCAGCAGGCACUUCAUCAGAGCAGCCGAAAAAAUAAGGCCUUCAGUGCCUGAAAAGGAUCAAAAACACUAUGAAAAAUUAAGGAGAAUGUAUACCGCAGUGCCCGAAGAAGCCGAAGUUGAAGAAAUGGAGUAUUCUUAGAAACAGGACUGUUUUUGUUAUUCCUAUUCUUUUUGGAAAAUUCUUAAACUUUUAGAAGACUCAUCAAACUCCUGAAUAUUUUUUUAUAUAGAUAUGCCUUACUAGAAGGUACGCAACACAUGGGAAUUUUUAAAUAUAUUUGUUUUUAAAAUUGUUGGACAAUAAAUAAAGAAAUCGUUACUAUAAAAAACAGCACGCAAAAAAGAAUAUUUUAAAAAUGUAUUAAUGCAGUGUGGUUAAAUAAUUUUCUAAACUAUGAAUUUUAGAAAAUUGAAAUUAUUUAGUUUGUAAUUAUAAAACUGAUAUCCCACAAUAAAAAAGAACAUUACAAACUUUCAUUUCCCUUUUUGAAUUGUGGUGCUCUUGCGAUGAUUAACUUAAUUUUACUAUAAUAAAAUUGUAAUUUUAGUGUAAAACUACACGGUUGACUAAAAUUAUAUUGUACAUGACUUUUUUUCCCAAAUUGAAUGUAAACCCAAGUCAGUGUUGCUUUUUGUUCUUGACAGUAUUUGACCUUUAUGUAUAUCAAAUCUUAAGUCCAUUAUAAACCUAAAUUUAAUAUAAGUUGAUAUAAAUGUAUGUUUAUUUUCAAUGACCUAUUGCGUAGUUUUAGUAAGAAUACUGUUUUUUGCACUUGUAUGUAUAAUUGUAAUAUUGCAGUUGCCGUUUUAUUAAUUGUCCGUUUUUUUCAAAUAACCCCGAAGCUGUUGUUCACAUGUCAAUCCAACUUUAUAGUAAAAUGGAACUGAUCUUUUAUUUUGAUUACUUUAUAUUAUUUUUUAGAGUUAUUCUAGAAAAGAAAUGAUAUCUAAUAAUGCAAGCAUUAUAGGUAUGCAUAUUUUAAGUCACUGUAUUAAAAAGUGUUUUA
This is an RNA transcript of Sitophilus oryzae (rice weevil), 5922 nucleotides long. It is a transcript of the gene named nuclear valosin-containing protein-like, with no coding region annotated. The transcript has 20 exons. NCBI's taxonomy places the organism in Eukaryota, Metazoa, Arthropoda, Insecta, Coleoptera, Curculionidae. The record is from RefSeq and is a predicted model, not a curated record.